Molecule: ribosomal RNA, 492 nt
Filed under: uncultured bacterium
Lineage: Bacteria
Description: partial 16S ribosomal RNA
Rfam family: Bacterial small subunit ribosomal RNA
Source: RNAcentral
AGUGAACGCUGGCGGUAGGCCUAACACAUGCAAGUCGAACGGCAGCACAGUAAGAGCUUGCUCUUACGGGUGGCGAGUGGCGGACGGGUGAGGAAUACAUCGGAAUCUACUUUUUCGUGGGGGAUAACGUAGGGAAACUUACGCUAAUACCGCAUACGACCUACGGGUGAAAGUGGGGGAUCUUCGGACCUUGCGCGAUUGAAUGAGCCGAUGUCGGAUUAGCUAGUUGGCGGGGUAAAGGCCCACCAAGGCGACGAUCCGUAGCUGGUCUGAGAGGAUGAUCAGCCACACUGGAACUGAGACACGGUCCAGACUCCUACGGGAGGCAGCAGUGGGGGAUAUUGGACAAUGGGCGCAAGCCUGAUCCAGCCAUACCGCGUGGGUGAAGAAGGCCUUCGGGUUGUAAAGCCCUUUUGUUGGGAAAGAAAAGCAGCAGGUUAAUACCCCGCUGUUCUGACGGUACCCAAAGAAUAAGCACCGGCUAACUUCGUG